RNAcentral lists this unclassified non-coding RNA (300 nucleotides) under uncultured Capnodiales. RNAcentral describes it as "sequence contains 5.8S rRNA gene, ITS2". The stretch from base 1 to 90 matches the Rfam family "5.8S ribosomal RNA", at positions 58 to 154 of the family's 154-position model. Lineage: Eukaryota; Fungi; Ascomycota; Dothideomycetes; Capnodiales. The record is from RNAcentral.
AGAUGUGUAUAGGAGACAGGUGAAUCAUCGAAUCUUUGAACGCACAUUGCGCCCCCUGGUAUUCCGGGGGGCAUGCCUGUUCGAGCGUCAUUUCACCACUCAAGCCUCGCUUGGUAUUGGGCAACGCGGUCCGCCGCGUGCCUCAAAUCGACCGGCUGGGUCUUCUGUCCCCUAAGCGUUGUGGAAACUAUUCGCUAAAGGGUGUUCGGGAGGCUACGCCGUAAAACAACCCCAUUUCUAAGGUUGACCUCGGAUCAGGUAGGGAUACCCGCUGAACUUAAGCAUAUCAAUAAGCGGAGG